This 253-nucleotide ribosomal RNA is filed under the name uncultured bacterium. RNAcentral describes it as "partial 16S ribosomal RNA". It matches the Rfam family "Bacterial small subunit ribosomal RNA", at positions 524 to 776 of the family's 1533-position model. RNAcentral also lists the same sequence under 1 other name. The record is from RNAcentral.
UACGGAGGGUGCAAGCGUUAUCCGGAUUCACUGGGUUUAAAGGGAGCGUAGGUGGCUUUGUAAGUCAGUGGUGAAAUGUCGCGGCUCAACCGCGAAACUGCCAUUGAUACUGCUUAGCUUGAAUCACGUCGAGGUGGAUGGAAUAUUACAUGUAGCGGUGAAAUGCUUAGAUAUGUAAUAGAACACCGAUUGCGAAGGCAGUUCACUAGGCGUGUAUUGACACUGAGGCUCGAAAGCGUGGGGAUCAAACAGG